ACUUUCUGAAGAACUUCACUGCCAGCUCUAUGCAAGAAAAUGGAACGGUGCUAAACUUUUUCAAGUUCCACUUACUUAGGUAAGCCUGUGACAUACAGCGUUGCGUUUGCUGGAAAAGAUUGCCUGCUUGCUAGGUUACUCUACAGGAGCAAUGAUACAUUCCAUGCCUGUGAGUUGUGGGUGAGAGGCAGCUACUUCAAUAGGUCUAAUCAGCCUUAUACAUGCUGUGACUUCCUCUUUGAUUACUUUUGUGGCCCUGCUCUACAGAUAUUGUACAGUAAGGAAAACUGCACCGUCUUUGACUAAAUAUAUAAAAAUUCAU
This is a long non-coding RNA of Rhipicephalus microplus (southern cattle tick), 322 nucleotides long. Lineage: Eukaryota; Metazoa; Arthropoda; Arachnida; Ixodida; Ixodidae. The record is from RefSeq and is a predicted model, not a curated record.